RNA transcript from Perca flavescens (yellow perch), 2504 nucleotides. It is a transcript of the gene named checkpoint kinase 2, with no coding region annotated. The record is from RefSeq and is a predicted model, not a curated record. NCBI's taxonomy places the organism in Eukaryota, Metazoa, Chordata, Actinopteri, Perciformes, Percidae. The transcript has 13 exons.
CGGAUGUGGAGCCCGGCUGCUGGGCGGGGUUAGUGACCCAGAACGGUACUGAGCCGGUUCUGGUCCCAGAUCAGUUUUCAUUUGCAUCUCCGAUACCGUCAGUUUGAAAUAAAAACAUCUCAACCAUCGACGGGCUCCAUUAAAAAAACAGCUAAUUUAACGUCGCCUUGUUCGCAUAAUAAUAUAGACGCUGUGGGAUGUGACUGAAGAGAGAUGAGGCCCCUCUUUAAAAAGUUUAAUGUUAUUUCAUGUUGACAUUAUGCCGAAUUCAAGAGAACACCAUUUGAUAUUUGGAGGAAUUCCUGCUCUUGUUGUCUACGUUCGUAUUAGUUGGAAGAUGUCUGAAGAGAUUCCACAUGAGAGGGAGCAACCCCAGACCACCCAGUCUACCCAGUCCACCCUGUCCCAGGCCCAGUCUACCCAGUCUCCGUCCCAGGCCCAGUCUACCCAGUCUCCGUCCCAGGCCCAGUCCACCCAGCCUAAGUCCCAGACUGGUUCCAGUUCUUCCAGCGGGCCGACCUCUUCCAGCGGCUCGGGGACCCUGAGCAGCGUGGACACCAUUCCUGUAACGCUGGCGUCUGUCCCCGAGGAGCCCGAGCCUCAGCCGUGGGGCCGCCUGCUGCCGAUGGCCCAGGGCUUCAGGAGCCUCGACUGUCUGGAGGACCAGUACCUGUUCGGCCGGGGCUCCAGGUGUAACUACGUUCUGGACGAUCCCGACGAAAAAGGAUCCAAGAAGUUCCGAAUCUACAGCAAGAAACACUUCAGGAUCUACAGAGAGGGCAGUGAGGUGUUCGUGGAGGACUCCAGUAACAACGGGACCUUUGUAGACGGGGUCCUGGUGGGUAAAGACAGGAAGCUUCCUCUCACCAACAACGCUGUGCUGGCGCUGGCUGAGCCACGCAACAGAGUCUUUGUGUUCAUUGACCUGAUGUCAGCUGACCAGUCCAGUUUACCCAGAGGGCUUCAGGAGAAAUACGUUCUGACUCGACGCAUCGGCACAGGAGUGUGUGGAGAAGUUAAACUGGCCUUCGAGAGAUCGUCGUGCAGGAAGUUUGCCGUGAAAAUCAUUAAUAAGAAGAACUUUCAGUCUGAAGGGACAGCGACGAGAAACGCGCAAACUGAAAUUGAAAUUCUGCAGAGAGUCGACCACCCAUGUCUGAUUAAAACAGAGGAUUUCUAUCAGACGGAGGACAGUUACUACAUUGUGUUGGAGCUGAUGGAGGGAGGAGAGUUGUUUCACCGAGUUAAAUCUCAGCAGCAGCUCGACGAGUCUGUCGCCAAACUAUAUUUUUAUCAGAUGCUGAGAGCAGUCAAGUACCUCCACAGUGAAGGGAUCAUCCACAGAGAUCUGAAACCGGAGAACAUCCUGCUGUCCUCGCAGGACAACGAGUGUCUCAUCAAGGUGACAGACUUCAACCAGUCCCGGAUCCUGGACGAGUCCCUGCUGAUGAGGAGUCUGUGUGGGACGCCGUCCUACCUCGCUCCUGAAGUCUUCACGUCGACGUCGGGAUACGGGCUGGCCGUGGACGCGUGGAGCCUCGGAGUCCUGCUCUUCGUCUGUCUGGGUGGUUAUCCUCCGUUCCACGAAAACUUCAGCCGCCAGUCGAUCACGGAGCAGAUCAUCCGCGGAGAGUUCACCAUGGUGCCGUCCAAGUGGAGACACAUCUCUGACCCAGGUAAACACUACGGGACACCUGAACACAUCUCUGACCCAGGUAAACACUACGGGACACCUGAACACAUCUCUGACCCAGGUAAACACUACGGGACACCUGAACACAUCUCUGACCCAGGUAAACACUACGGGACACCUGAACACAUCUCUGACCCAGGUAAACACUACGGGACACCUGAACACAUCUCUGACCCAGGUAAACACUACGGGACACCUGAACACAUCUCUGACCCAGGUAAACACUACGGGACACCUGAACACAUCUCUGACCCAGGUAAACACUACGGGACACCUGAACACAUCUCUGACCCAGGUAAACACUACGGGACACCUGAACACAUCUCUGACCCAGGUAAACACUACGGGACACCUGAACACAUCUCUGACCCAGGUAAACACUAGGGGACACCUGAACACAUCUCCGACCCAGGUAAACACUACGGGACACCUGAACACAUCUCCGACCCAGGUAAACACUACGGGACACCUGAACACAUCUCUGACCCAGGUAAACACUACGGGACACCUGAACACAUCUCUGACCCAGGUAAACACUACGGGACACCUGAACACAUCUCUGACCCAGGUAAACACUACGGGACACCUGAACACAUCUCUGACCCAGGUAAACACUACGGGACACCUGAACACAUCUCCGACCCAGGUAAACGCUACGGGACACCUGAACACAUCUCUGACCCAGGUAAACACUACGGGACACCUGAACACAUCUCCGACCCAGGUAAACACUACGGGACACCUGAACACAUAUCCGACCCAGGUAAACACUACGGGACACCUGAACACACCUCUGACCCAGGUACUGGAC